This 433-nucleotide ribosomal RNA is filed under the name uncultured bacterium. RNAcentral's name for it is "partial 16S ribosomal RNA". It matches the Rfam family "Bacterial small subunit ribosomal RNA", at positions 29 to 507 of the family's 1533-position model. The record is from RNAcentral.
AACGAACGCUGGCGGCAUGCCUAACACAUGCAAGUCGAACGAGACCUUCGGGUCUAGUGGCGCACGGGUGCGUAACGCGUGGUAACCUGCCCUUAGGUUCGGAAUAACUCCCCGAAAGGGGUGCUAAUACCGGAUAAUUUCUUCGGACCAAAGAUUUAUCGCCUUUGGAUGGGCCCGCGUUGGAUUAGCUAGUUGGUAGGGUAAAAGCCUACCAAGGCGACGAUCCAUAGCUGGUCUGAGAGGAUGAUCAGCCACACUGGGACUGAGACACGGCCCAGACUCCUACGGGAGGCAGCAGUGGGGAAUAUUGGACAAUGGGCGAAAGCCUGAUCCAGCAAUGCCGCGUGAGUGAUGAAGGCCUUAGGGUUGUAAAGCUCUUUUACCCGGGAUGAUAAUGACAGUACCGGGAGAAUAAGCUCCGGCUAACUCCGUA